This 253-nucleotide ribosomal RNA is filed under the name uncultured bacterium. Its description in RNAcentral is "partial 16S ribosomal RNA". It matches the Rfam family "Bacterial small subunit ribosomal RNA", at positions 524 to 776 of the family's 1533-position model. The record is from RNAcentral.
UACGUAGGGGGCAAGCGUUGUCCGGAUUCAUUGGGCGUAAAGAGCGUGUAGGCGGCCAGGUAGGUCGGUUGUGAAAACUGGAGGCUCAACCUUCAGACGUCGACCUAGACCAUCUGGCUAGAGUCCGGGAGAGGAGAGUGGAAUUCCUGGUGUAGCGGUGAAAUGCGCAGAUAUCAGGAAGAACACCCGUGGCGAAAGCGGCUCUCUGGAACGGUACUGACGCUGAGACGCGAAAGCGUGGGGAGCGAACAGG